GUCUGCAGCCACGCCACCCUGAACACGCCCGGUGUCUGAGCCGGAAGCUAAGCAGGGUCGGGCCUGGCUAGUACUCAGAUGGGAGGCCACCUAGGAAGACCAGGUGCUGUAGUCG
Molecule: ribosomal RNA, 115 nt
Organism: Pteropus vampyrus (large flying fox)
Lineage: Eukaryota; Metazoa; Chordata; Mammalia; Chiroptera; Pteropodidae
Source: Ensembl